GACGAACCGUGCGAACGUUGUUCGGAAUCACUGGGCUUAAAGGGCGCGUAGGCGGGCGGCCGAGUCCGCGGUGAAAGCCCCCGGCUCAACCGGGGAAGUGCCGCGGAGACUGGACGCCUCGAGGCGGGUAGGGGCGAGCGGAACUGUGGGUGGAGCGGUGAAAUGCGUUGAUAUCCACAGGAACUCCGGUGGCGAAGGCGGCUCGCUGGACCCGACCUGACGCUGAGGCGCGAAAGCCAGGGGAGCGAACGGG
This 253-nucleotide ribosomal RNA is filed under the name uncultured bacterium. Its description in RNAcentral is "partial 16S ribosomal RNA". It matches the Rfam family "Bacterial small subunit ribosomal RNA", at positions 524 to 776 of the family's 1533-position model. The record is from RNAcentral.